Long non-coding RNA from Stegostoma tigrinum, 329 nucleotides. RefSeq lists it as uncharacterized. The record is from RefSeq and is a predicted model, not a curated record. NCBI's taxonomy places the organism in Eukaryota, Metazoa, Chordata, Chondrichthyes, Orectolobiformes, Stegostomatidae. The transcript has 3 exons.
GUUCUGAGCAACUAAAUGGCUUGCAGCAAUGUAGGUGUACAGCCUCACCCACAAUUUAUUGUAUUUCACUCUUAGCUGCUCCCUCAUGGCCUGCUGUCCCUCCCAGGUUGCCCAUUUACGUGGAGCGGGCAGCAGAUCCAGUUUUUAGUCUUUCCCUGGGAUGAAGGCAUUGGAAAGCUUACUACAAGAGAGAGAAAAAACACAGAAAUCGAAAGCCGUGUUAGAACAUUUUCAGUGACUUCUGGAACCGAGGUAGAGGAGAAAGGCAAGAUGUGCUCUACUGCAUCUACCCAGGACCUGGAUCGAAAUAGCAUCUUUGUUUCUGAAAA